RNAcentral lists this unclassified non-coding RNA (240 nucleotides) under soil metagenome. RNAcentral describes it as "partial contains 5.8S ribosomal RNA, internal transcribed spacer 2, and large subunit ribosomal RNA". The record is from RNAcentral.
AACGCACGAGACCUGCGGACCUGCGGAGGGAUCAUUACAGAGUGUUCUACUCCCUUGUAACAGAAGCGAGUUUAACCUCCCGUCCUUUGCUUGACCCCCCAAUCUGAGGGGCCUUUAAACCUUUUUGCUUCGGCGGGGUUUUCCCCACCGGAACAUCCUCAAAAAUUCUUGGUCAAAAACUGUUCAGUCCGAGAAACUUUGAAAAAUUAGCGAAAAACUUUCAACAAUGGAUCUCUAGAU